GAUGAACGCUGGCGGCGUGCCUAAUACAUGCAAGUCGAGCGAACAGGCGAGGAGCUUGCUCCUCUGACGUUAGCGGCGGACGGGUGAGUAACACGUGGAUAACCUACCUGUAAGACUGGGAUAACUUCGGGAAACCGGAGCUAAUACCGGAUAAUAUAUUGACCCGCAUGGUUCAAUAGUGAAAGACGGUUUUGCUGUCACUUAUAGAUGGAUCCGCGCCGCAUUAGCUAGUUGGUAAGGUAACGGCUUACCAAGGCAACGAUGCGUAGCCGACCUGAGAGGGGGAUCGGCCACACUGGAACUGAGACACGGUCCAGACUCCUACGGGAGGCAGCAGUAGGGAAUCUUCCACAAUGGGCGAAAGCUUGACGGAGCAACGCCGCGUGAGUGAUGAAGGUCUUCGGAUCGUAAAACUCUGUUAUUAGGGAAGAACAAAUGUGUAAGUAACUAUGCACGUCUUGACGGUACUUAAUCAGAAAGCCACGGCUAACUACGUG
RNAcentral lists this ribosomal RNA (497 nucleotides) under uncultured bacterium. Its description in RNAcentral is "partial 16S ribosomal RNA". It matches the Rfam family "Bacterial small subunit ribosomal RNA", at positions 28 to 507 of the family's 1533-position model. The record is from RNAcentral.